Gossypium arboreum is the source of this 575-nucleotide long non-coding RNA. RefSeq lists it as uncharacterized. NCBI's taxonomy places the organism in Eukaryota, Viridiplantae, Streptophyta, Magnoliopsida, Malvales, Malvaceae. The record is from RefSeq and is a predicted model, not a curated record. The transcript has 2 exons.
CUUUUCCAAAAGUUCCAGGGUUUUAGGGUGCGGCAGUCGGCUUCGAGUCUAUAAAUGCACUCCAAUUGCAUUUUCCCCAUUGGCUGCUGAGAUUGUUUUGGAAAGAAGACUUGUGAGAGGCCAUUUUUUUAGUGAAUAUGAUGUUUGUUAUUGUUACAAGUAGAGGCUCUGAAGAGGGUGAAUUAGCUGGAAUUCUUGAUUUCAUUUUCUAUUUUGAAUCAAUGCAACAUUUGUCUUUUGAUUGUUUGAAUAGAAAGUUGAUUGGUAGAACAGGGAAAAUGUAGCGAGUGAUAUUGUUGUCGAGAUUAGAGCUAUCCAUUGCUCACUUAGCUCAAUAGGCCUAGCCUCAUCUUGGUUGGGCUUCGACAAAAGGAUUUUCUUGAUUGGCUGGUUCUACUAGGCUUGAAUUUAGUUUAAGUGAAAAUUUGCUUGACAAUAUUUGUGAAAACAACAUGAAAAAGAAUAUAUCUGUAUAUAGGUUGGAUCAUCCCACUUCACCCGAAGAUUCUUUUUGGGUAUCUGAAUAUAAGUUUGAAAAAUAAAUUUAGAAAAAUAAAUAAAUUUUGUUUAGAAAA